RNAcentral lists this ribosomal RNA (699 nucleotides) under uncultured euryarchaeote. Its description in RNAcentral is "bacterial SSU rRNA". It matches the Rfam family "Archaeal small subunit ribosomal RNA", at positions 29 to 733 of the family's 1478-position model. Lineage: Archaea; Methanobacteriati; Methanobacteriota. The record is from RNAcentral.
GCUAUUGGGAUUCGACUAAGCCAUGCGAGUCGAGAGGGUUCGGCCCUCGGCAGACUGCUCAGUAACACGUGGAUAAUCUGCCCUUAGGUGGAGGAUAACCUUGGGAAACUGAGAAUAAUACUCCAUAGAUCUAAGAUGCUGGAAUGCACUUAGAUUAAAAGCUCCGGCGCCUAAGGAUGAGUCUGCGGACUAUCAGGUUGUAGUCAGGGUAAGGUCCUGACUAGCCUACAACGGAUACGGGUUGUGAGAGCAAUAACCCGGAGACGAUAUCUGAGACACGAUAUCGGGCCCUACGGGGCGCAGCAGGCGCGAAACCUUCACAAUGUGCGAAAGCGCGAUGAGGGAAUCCCAAGUGCUUGCACUUAAGUGUAAGCUGUUUCUUUGUUUAAAACGCAGAGAGAGGAAGGGCUGGGUAAGACGGGUGCCAGCCGCCGCGGUAAUACCUGCAGCUCAAGUGGUGACCGCUAUUAUUGGGCCUAAAACGUUCGUAGCCGGCUGAGUAAAUGCUUGGGUAAAUCGUGCCGCUUAACGGUACGAAUUCCGGGUAGACUGCUCAGCUUGAGACCGGGAGAAGCUAGAGGUACUCCUGGGGUAGAGGUGAAAUUCUGUAAUCCUGGGGGGACCACCAGUGGCGAAGGCGUCUAGCUAGAACGGGUCUGACGGUGAGGGACGAAACCCUGGGGCGCAAACCGGAUUAGA